This 460-nucleotide ribosomal RNA is filed under the name uncultured bacterium. RNAcentral describes it as "partial 16S ribosomal RNA". It matches the Rfam family "Bacterial small subunit ribosomal RNA", at positions 338 to 795 of the family's 1533-position model. The record is from RNAcentral.
CCUACGGGUGACAGCAGUGAGGAAUAUUGGUCAAUGGACGAGAGUCUGAACCAGCCAAGUAGCGUGAAGGAUGACUGCCCUAUGGGUUGUAAACUUCUUUUAUAUGGGAAUAAAAUGUUCCACGUGUGGGAUUUUGUAUGUACCAUAUGAAUAAGGAUCGGCUAACCACGUGCCAGCAGCCGCGGUAAUACGGAGGAUCCGAGCGUUAUCCGGAUUUAUUGGGUUUAAAGGGAGCGUAGGUGGAUUGUUAAGUCAGUUGUGAAAGUUUGCGGCUCAACCGUAAAAUUGCAGUUGAAACUGGCAGUCUUGAGUGCAGUAGAGGUGGGCGGAAUUCGUGGUGUAGCGGUGAAAUGCUUAGAUAUCACGAAGAACUCCAAUUGCGAAGGCAGUUCACUGGACUGCAACUGACACUGAGGCUCGAAAGUGUGGGUAUCAAACAGGAUUAGAUACCCCAGUAGUC